This is a long non-coding RNA of Anopheles gambiae (African malaria mosquito), 8166 nucleotides long. RefSeq lists it as uncharacterized. The transcript is spliced from 3 exons. The record is from RefSeq and is a predicted model, not a curated record. NCBI's taxonomy places the organism in Eukaryota, Metazoa, Arthropoda, Insecta, Diptera, Culicidae.
UGGGAUUCACAUGAGUCGUCGACACACACGUUAAAACGUCGACAUUGUAAAACAUUUGCUUUCGCGGGAAAAGUUUCCCCUUUGCUUUACCUGGUAAUAUUACAUUGGGUAAGCUAGUUCUUCUGGAUACUAAGACGAAACAAAUCUUAGAACAACAUUUUAUUCAAUCCAUGCUGUACAGUCAUUUGCAAGUAUUGGUAAAGCCGCUUACCUCUAGCGGUAUUUUAUAAGCCAUCAUGUCAAUUUCUCGCACUUUUACUUUUACUCUUACUCUCAGGUUUUGUUAGCAUAAUGAGCCACAGUAUUUAAACGAAAUAAUAUUAAAACGUGCAACGAGAGUAUAAAAUAUCCAAAAAAAUGGUUUGCUCAUUUGACGUAUGACGAUUUAACAUUUCAAGGUAUAUGAUUUAACAUUUCAUGUUUGGAAGUACAUUUUAAGUAGCAUUAUUACUACGCACACUUCCAAAAUAAUGUUUAAAUUCAAGUAAUAAUAUUUAUUGGAGUAAUUUGACUAAUCUUUAAAGUGCGAAAAAUUUCUAUCGUUGUUUCGUAUAAUCGUUGUUCAUAAAAUUUAAAUCUAAAAUUCAUAGCUAAAUACCUACUAACUCAUUUAUAUCCAAGCCAGCUGAGAAACAUGCAAAAGUUGAGAUAAAUGUAUUAGAUAUAGACUAUAGAUAGUUAAAUAUAGAUAUAUAGACUUGUAUUAGACAUAGUAAAUCAUUUUGGAAAUAUUUGCGAUAAUCGGAUAUUUGCUGAUGAACAUGUAGACAGAAUAAUUUUGUGAAUCAUUAUCUCGACCUGUCAAAAGAUUGCAAGCAAAUAUUGUUGCUAUCCAUCAAGCGAAGGUAAACUUGGAUUACUCGAAAAAGAUUAGCCCAAGGCUUCUCUACUUCUCUUACUACAUAUAAAAAAUGUUCGUUUCACAGAUAUGUUCUUGUAUUGGCUGUAGUAUCUAUAUGACAAAAAAAAUCUUAAAGAACAUAACUUGUAGUGUAUACUUAAUAUUUCAAAGGAAGUGAAAAAAACUUCCUUCCACAACGGAUAUGAAAACAAAAUAAUGCUCCCAAAUUUUCUUCGAGUAAUGAAGGCUUUCCAUUGUUUGAUGGAUGAUUGCAUGUUUUAGUUUAUAAUCUGUGUAUUGUUGAUAUUGAAAUCUGACAAGAGGAAAAAAUUAAAACGAUAGUAUUAUUUAAAUGACUGUAUGUAUUUUAUAAACCCAAAUGGAAUCCUAAAUUUAUCAUGAUUUCUUAUGAAGUUUUUCACCAAUACAGCUUAUUUGAAUUUAACUUAAAUCGCUAUUAGCUGUUUUUAGAAUAUGUUUAUCCAAUUGUUACAUUAUUGUAUCGAUUGAUUCAGCGAAAUAUUGGUCUUUAGAAAUAAUGUCAUUAACUUUGUAUGCUGAGACGUCAUUUGCAGAAACGAGAGCAAGAUGAGAAUGUGGAUUCAUUGACAUGACACUUUUUGAAUGAAAAUAAACGUUUUCUUCCUUCUUUAUAUGUUAAAAAAAAGUUUUGAUUUUUUUUAAGGCUGAUGUAUUUUUUAUAUAAAUAAAAAAAGAGUUGUGAUAGCAGGACAGCAAAACACAACAAACAUAAUUAUCAUAAAAACGACAGAAAAACAGCACCAGUUAGUCGUUUUAUGGUCAUUAUUGGGAAGGUUUUUUAGCCAGUGCCGAGGAACAAUACUAUGGUUCUGCACAAUCCAAAUAUGCUGUGCAGCAAACACUCACAGGCCCGUAAAAACUACCAAAAACCAUCUAUUUAUUUUGUUUAACCGUAAGCCCAACGCUCCAACAUCUUUUGUGCGCUUUAACGCCACCGCAAUGUUUAAUUUGUAUCUUUCAGCGCCGUGGCAUAAAUAUAUUUCCACCUCAACUUAUCUGAUAUAAUUAAUCAAAUUAUCAUUGUCUUAACGUGUUCGUGCUUUUGUUCGCGGCUCGCUGGAUCAACGCUACAGUGUAAAAGAACAACCCAUUCACUAACCGCCGGGUGCUGUUUGGUGCAUGAUUUAGACAUUCGCUGCGUCAGGUGCUGGAUGUGUUCUUGCUUCAGCGCGUUUUUUUUUUUUUUUUAUUUAUUUCCCUCUGUUUGCCACGCAUCAAUGCAAAGCCCCAAAAAAACCUUCCACACCCAGUUUUUGGCAUCCAUUGCAUCGGGUAUUGUUAUUUUCAGAUGCACCGUACGGGUUGCGGCAUACCUUGAGCCGGAAGUGUCUUACAGUUAGCGAACCAUUUCCUGUCGGCGGUGAACUCUGAGACAAAAAACCGAAACACAUAAAAUGUUGAUCUCCAGUAAGCUUUCCGUUGCAAAAAGACAAUACGGCGAUAUCGAAAACUACCCUCAGGUGGAAUGUGAAUAAAAUAACACAUCGUCCACAAAACGGAUGCACUGAAAAGAGUUUUAUCUUUACCGCUUUUCUGAUGCAUCAAUUUGGAAGCGGGCACCGCGACGGGACGAGUUUUGUGCCAUUUUUUUCAUCCUCGCACACAGUAUUGUCUCAAUCCUGUGUGAGCCACGGUAACAAAAAACUCGCAAUAGAAAACAAAAUAAAUAAUUGCCGGGUUUAUCAUGGUGAUUUUGUGCCGGUCGUUUUGUUUUUCUUUUUGGCAGUUAAAUUUUAAACCGUACGUGCUCCGUCUCCACGUCCGCGGAUGAUAAAUUGUGUCUGAAAUUUUUUGACUAAUUACAGCCAUGAGCCGUGAUUAAAAGCUCGGAACUUGAAGGCUGUCGUCAUCACCACGCCGUCGUCGUCUGGAUGAGGUUUUCAGCCGGGGAUUCCACUCCUGCUUUACACGGUCUGGUGAAAGUGAAUGCACUUUUGGAAGGUUAUUUUUCUUCUCCGGCCAAAAUCAGCGAAACUCCGUGCCGGUUUGUUUCGUGUGUUUCCCAUUCUGCUGGACCGUUGCGAAAAAUUCAUCAAAAUAAUAGCAUUUAUAUCUUGACGCACGGAUGCUUAUCGCUGAGAAGUUGCAAAAUUAUCAUAAUCGCUGUUCGUUCAUCGCAAACAAAAAUGCUCGCGUUAAGAAAAAAAGGGCACAAUUCCAUUACCUUUUUUAUGACUCUUGUAAAUUACUCACAAUAUAACAUAUUGAACACAGCAGCAGUGUGAAGUCCAUGGUAAACAAUGCAAAGUUAAGCAUCCUAGUGCAAUUUUCACAUGCAGUAUCUUAUCCAUGCCAACACCUUCUUCGGCAGUGCCUCAUGCUUCGUGUGCCACUGUUUGCCACGGUGAUGGAGGAGUAAAAUUAAUCCAAAAGCAAUUAUGAAUAAUGAAAUUAUGCUCAGGUGCGAAACUGCCAAGAAAGACUCUUUUGAGCACGACGACAGUAGCGACAAUUUACUUUAAUGGUUGAUUCGGUGCUUUGUUUCCUUCAAUGCAUCAUUGAAUGAGGACGAUUGUGAUUUUGUUAAACGGUAUAUUUUAUUAUUCUUUAUCAGGUAAAAGUAUUUCAAUAAAAAUGUCAAUUAUUCAAAAAAUACGUCGUCAUAUGAUGCUCUUCUUUUAAAAUGUAGUAGCAUGUAACCUGCACAUUGUAUGGAUAUAGGUACAAAACUCACAUACUCAAAUAAGUAAUAUUCGUAAUUUUAUCUACUUAAAUAGCAAUCUAAAAACCAGCAAAAUCCAAAACCAUGUUGUGAUAAAAUCUUUCAUCUGAGCAAUUACCUUAAAUCAAUUUUCUAAUACUUUUUCACAGCAAAAACACCAUAACUAACUGCCCGACUGUGAACGAACCAUGCCCUACAUGCUUCGAAUUCGGACGAUUAGUAGUGGACCAACCUUGCCCAUAAUUCCUCGCCAGUUUCCGUGCAGUUCAUUCACUGUAAUAGUCAACAUCAUUACCAUCAUUAGUGUAAGUAACGGUACGAUGGGACUAACGAACGACGAUGGCACCGUGCAGACGCUAUUCUUUCCAAGUGCAUCCCCGCCCAGACCAUGUUCGUAUUUUCCUUCCAAAACGGAUACAGUCGUAUGCUGUUGCUAGUAGUGGUGGUCGGCACUAACCGAUGAUGCUUAAGCCGCCGUUCUUAGCGCUAUAUAUAAAUACACACAAACACACACACACACAAGUUCCUAGUCACUUUGGUAGCUUUGACCUCGACAGCCUUUCUUUUUCUACACGCUCUAUCUCCCAGCAACGGUGCUGGAUGUGAAAUGCUUUUCGCAAUUAAUCAACCUGCUACAGAAUGUGUUUAGUGAAUACAAUCGGAUCUCGUCCAGCGUGCAUUGCACCCGUGCAGUGAGGGGUGUUAGCUGGAUUUUAGCAGCCUUAAAAGUGUCUCCGGCAAACCGAAGAAAAGCGUUCACCGGAUAUCACUCUGCUGCGGGCAUCGAAGUGGCAGGAUAAUGGGAAGAUCUAUUGCCACCACCGGCGUAUAUAAAGCUUGCAUAUAAUGUAUGAUUUUUUAAAAGUUGCUCAGCACCAAACCGAUGCUGAAAAUGCUGAGAUUUCUGCACCGAAAUCCUUCUCCUCCCCUUUUGCGAAGCUUUCCAUCACGCUUCACGAUUCGAAAUGCACGAAAAAGAGUGUGCAUUUAGAGCUGGGCGGAUUGUAGCAUGGGACAUGGGUGAUCGGAAUAAAAUUUCCAUAUAUUUCCACUGCUUGUUGGCAAAGUUCUCGACUACAAUGAAUGCUUGAUGCAUCGUUUAGCAUUCUUGUACCUCCUACAUUACAGAGCGUCGAGUUGAAAAGAUACAUGAUACAACAGUUUUUUUUUCAUAUAAUUCUGCAUACUUCACAUACUGAAUUGAUCUUUGCUGAUUUGCGUUCUAACGUUCCCUCUCCUUUCUGAAACCGCUACAAACAGAUUAAAGUGCUCUAACCUGCUCUUUUGUGGUCAUUUUAUUGCACAAAUAAUCCAGCACGAUUUUCCUUUCUGAUAAAAAAAUGCACACAAAAAGGGGCCCUAAAUUCGUUCCUUGAAUGAUAAAUACGUUGCAAUCAUUAUUAUGAAAUUCAUUUUGUGUUCUGACCUGGACGCAAAAAAAUGGUCGUAACCUUCAAAUAAAUCUGUAUCAUCCUCUUUGAACCAUGCCGCUCGCAUUUGAACUCCGGCGUGAAACAUGCCAAAAGGAAGAUGUGAACAAAUUUUAUAUUUCAGGACGGAUUAUUUUCUCAAUGUUGCCAAACCCUCCAUUAGGCAUUAGCAAAGGAAGUGCUUUUGAAACCGAAAAGCAAAUGAUCAAAACGGACUAUGGACACGAUAUUUCGACCGCAAACAAUUGAGGUAACACGGCGUGGCUUCGUGUGUGGUAUUAAGAGUCGUGGUAUAAGACAAUAAAAUCAUUUGUUCACAGGGAACAUGAGCUAAUUUGUUCAUUUAAGAGAUUUUUUGUAUCUUUUGGAAAUUUGAGAACAUUCAAUAACACUUUAUUUCACCAUUGAAUUAAAUUAAAGUGAGGUUCAAAGAUACUAGACCUUUUACAUCUCCGAUUUUUUAAAUCAAUUAAACUUGGUAUUUUUUAAAUUACUUUUAACUAUCAACGUCGAUAGUUAAUUACAGAAAACAAGUAUUACUGUUCAAAACACCAAAAAACACAAAACGUGUAAGUUUUUAAGCCUAAAAAACAUGACUCACACGCUCUGUGUCGACCAACACCUAAACCGUGGAUAAUUAUCAACAACCGAUACCACAUAAUUCUUCGUCACGCGCUCAAACGCGACAAUUUGGUGAAAAUAUCUACCGACCACGUGGCAAUGCCCGUGCUACCGCCCAGCCGCCUGCACGAACUUUCUUAUCUUCACACGAACUCCGGUGACAUUGCUGUGGCGUAAGGGCGAAUGUGUUCUUUUUCCCGCUGCUGCUGUAUGUAUGUCUCCAUUGCGGUUUUGUGUGGCUUUCAUUUUCGGUAUAAAAAAAACAACCCUGCAACAUCACCACACCCACAAAAACACACCUACUAUCGUGGAAACAACAACACAAAAACGGUUGACUCAUCAAAUGUUUCGCUGCGAAAAUGAUGGUGAAAUAAAUUCGCAUGAAAUAUUAAAACCUUCCUCACCGUGACAGCUCCUGUCAGCUUAUUGCCACAAAACUUUCCUGAGCUGCUGCUGCUGCUUCACUUACGCGGGACUUGAGGUCGCUCUACGGAGAAGGUGGCUCCUUUAGCGUGUUGUAUGAUGUAUUUUUUUUCGCUUCUGUCUCAUGUUCCGUUUCAUGUUUCAUGCCCGUGAGCUUUUAUUCCUUCGCUCAGAGGUGUACCUUCGCGCUGCCUAUCUCGCCGGCCCCGUGAAUGUCCACGAUUCAUACCUUACGCUUAAGCGGCAAUGUGUCUUUUUUUGUAAUUUUCUAGAACGAUUUGUUUUGUUUUGCUAUAAUUCGUGCCGUUCUUUUUUGCUUCCCUAAAGUACUUCUCCUUCAUCGUUAGCUCUUUUCCUUCUUCCAUUCUAUCGCCAGUACGUUCAUUCGACCGAAGUGUAUUGGUUGUUUCAAGCGUCAAAGUACUCUACCAGGCGAACAAAUUGCUAAAUUUGCACUUGUUUCCAGCUCCAUAGAGACAGUGAGGCUCGGAAAAGCAGCGGGGGUUCAGCGUCGUACCGGUGCCUGUUGUGCCUGGAGGGUUUCUUUUUUAUCGCUCACAGCCACCGAGUGCACGUUGGGAUCCGCUACUACGCUGGUGUCUGUGAAUGCUCCGUUUACGAAAGCACAAGGAUGGAGUUCCAAAUAACGGACGCAGAAGAAUGGUUAGGUGAGGAAGGAUUAAGCUGCAACAUAGGCGAGUGUGAAAAUCCCACCAGGGUUCGUUCCAACGAUCGACCAAAGCUCCGUGUUGCUUGGAAGGGAUUUAGGCAAGGUUGCCGUUUACUUUCCUAUCCAAGUUUUACACACAGAACACACACACCAACCGGUACUGGAUCCUGUUCCAGAUCCGGUUUUGCAGACUUGCACCGCUUGCUUCAAAGUUCGUCGGCAGCUACCAAGCUGGGUUUGUUGGAGGAAAAUUCACCACCGAUCAAUACCAGUACCAGACCGCUACGCAUCUCCUGCUCAUCGACUUCAAUGCGAUCUACAACACAAUAGACCGCUGAGUUAUGGAACAUCAUGCUCCCUUAUCAUUUUCCUGUGAAGUUGAUCCGACUGUUAGAGGCCAACACGGGAUGCAGUGCAAGAUAAGAGUUCCAGAACCUUUCGAAUCUCUCAGCGUUCUGAGGCAAGAUGACGGACACUCCUGUCUGCUCCUCAACAUGCGACAAAGACUAAGUUCCUCCUUACCAGAUUCAGACCAUCUGGGAAGUAGUGUAAUUAGUUGACGGCGACAACCUCGAGGUAGUAAAGGAGUUCUGCUAUCUCGAGACGGUUGUUACUUCGGACAACCACACCAGCAGCGAAAUCCAGGGAAUUUGUUCAGGGGAAUCGUGCAUACUAUUGGCUUCACCAUCUGCUGAGAUACAGAAAACUUCGAGCCCCCACCGAAUGCGAGUUAUAUCGCACAUUGAUUCGACCGGUGAUCCUCUAUGGACACGAGUCAGGCCAUCCGAUGCGAUGCAAUGAGCUUGUUUGAGUGACGCAUAUUCCGGACCAUCUUUGGCGGUGUAUUUGAGCAUGGAGCGUGGAGGAGAAGGAUGAACCACGUGCUUGCUGAGCUGUACGGCAAACUGAGCAUCCUGACGGUGGUGAGUAUAGCGGUGGCCAGUACGACAUAAGGUGUAGGGCAGGGUAGUGAUAUCAAUGGCUGCAUCAGGUGAAGCAUGAUCAGAUGUCUUCAUGGAUGGUAGGCUGCAGCCAGGGUCCUAGCAUCCUUGAGAAUGAUUGUUGACCAGGCCAUGUCACGACGGCUUGCUCCAUCGUAAGCAAGCCAACAAGAGAUAGAGAAAGAGGAAGAGACAGAGAGAGAAAGAGCGAGAAAAAUAGGGAAAGAAAAGGAGAGAGAGAGAGAGAGAGAGAGAGAGAGAGAGAGUCAAAUUGUAUAAAACAAAAAACAACUUGAACUUUUCCUUUCUUCUUCGUUCUUAAAUACUCGCUUCUUCGCUCUUAUGAACUUACAUAAUCGCUUACGGAACAAUUUACUCAACUACUUGCACAUUUUCAACCAAUUUGUUUGAUCAUUUUUCUAGAUCAUUGCAGCUUAGCUAGAUGGAGGUAAUUACUGCAAUCAAUGUCAUUAGUGCUAUUAUUGUAAGCGAGCGUUGUUGUUUAUCAAUGCCCAAAGUUGUUUCUUGCUCCCCCA